Molecule: ribosomal RNA, 262 nt
Filed under: uncultured Glomus
Lineage: Eukaryota; Fungi; Glomeromycota; Glomeromycetes; Glomerales; Glomeraceae
Description: partial 18S ribosomal RNA
Rfam family: Eukaryotic small subunit ribosomal RNA
Source: RNAcentral
AAGCUCGUAGUUGAAUUUCGGGGUUAGUAGGUUGGUCAUGCCUCUGGUAUGUACUGGUCUCACUGAUUCCUCCUUCCUUAUGAACCGUAAUGCCAUUAAUUUGGUGUUGCGGGGGAAUUUGGACUGUUACUUUGAAAAAACUUAGAGUGUUUAAAAGCAAGCUAACGCUUGAAUACAUUAGCAUGGAAUAAUGUAAUAGGACGUUCGAUCUUAUUUUAGUUGGUUUCUAGGAUUGACGUAAUGAUUAAUAGGGAUAGUUGGG